RNAcentral lists this ribosomal RNA (433 nucleotides) under uncultured bacterium. RNAcentral's name for it is "partial 16S ribosomal RNA". It matches the Rfam family "Bacterial small subunit ribosomal RNA", at positions 29 to 507 of the family's 1533-position model. The record is from RNAcentral.
AGCGAACGCUGGCGGCAGGCCUAACACAUGCAAGUCGAACGAACUCUUCGGAGUUAGUGGCGGACGGGUGAGUAACACGUGGGAACGUGCCUUUAGGUUCGGAAUAACUCAGGGAAACUUGUGCUAAUACCGAAUGUGCCCUUCGGGGGAAAGAUUUAUCGCCUUUAGAGCGGCCCGCGUCUGAUUAGCUAGUUGGUGAGGUAAAGGCACACCAAGGCGACGAUCAGUAGCUGGUCUGAGAGGAUGAUCAGCCACAUUGGGACUGAGACACGGCCCAAACUCCUACGGGAGGCAGCAGUGGGGAAUCUUGCGGAAUGGGCGAAAGCCUGACGCAGCCAUGCCGCGUGAAUGAUGAAGGUCUUAGGAUUGUAAAAUUCUUUCACCGGGGACGAUAAUGACGGUACCCGGAGAAGAAGCCCCGGCUAACUUCGUG